UCUUCGGAGAGCCUGCACAGGUGCUGCAUGGCUGUCGUCAGCUCGUGCCGUGAGGGUGUCCGGUUAAGUCCGGUAACGAGCGCAACCCUCGCCAUAUGUUACAAGUGUCAUAUGGGACUGCCGAUAUAAAGUCGGAGGAAGUGGGAUGACGUCAAGUCAGCAUGGCCUUUAUGUCCGGGGCUACACACACGCUACAAUGGCCGGUACAAUAGGUAGCAAGACCGCGAGGUGGAGCCAAUCCUUAAAGCCGGUCUCAGUUCAGAUUGCAGGCUGCAACUCGCCUGCAUGAAGUUGGAAUCGCUAGUAAUCGCGGAUCAGCAUGUCGCGGUGAAUACGUUCCCGGGCCUU
This 348-nucleotide ribosomal RNA is filed under the name uncultured Anaerolineaceae bacterium. RNAcentral's name for it is "bacterial SSU rRNA". It matches the Rfam family "Bacterial small subunit ribosomal RNA", at positions 1017 to 1382 of the family's 1533-position model. Lineage: Bacteria; Bacillati; Chloroflexota; Anaerolineae; Anaerolineales; Anaerolineaceae. The record is from RNAcentral.